GAUGAACGCUAGCGGCAGGCCUAACACAUGCAAGUCGAGGGGGAGGUUACUUUCGGGUAACUGAGACCGGCGUACGGGUGCGUAACGCGUAUACAAUCUGCCUUUCACUGGGGGAUAGCCCGAAGAAAUUUGGAUUAAUACCCCAUAGUAUAGUAAUACGGCAUCGUGAUGCUAUUAAAGCUUAGGUGGUGAAAGAUGAGUAUGCGUUCUAUUAGCUAGUUGGAGAGGUAACGGCUCCCCAAGGCGAUGAUAGAUAGGGGUUCUGAGAGGGAUGUCCCCCACACUGGUACUGGGAUACGGACCAGACUCCUACGGGAGGCAGCAGUGAGGAAUAUUGGACAAUGGUCGGAAGACUGAUCCAGCCAUGCCGCGUGCAGGAUGAAGGUCUUAUGGAUUGUAAACUGCUUUUGUAAGGGAAGAAUAAGGGCUACGCGUAGUUUGAUGACGGUACCUUACGAAUAAGCAUCGGCUAACUCCGU
RNAcentral lists this ribosomal RNA (479 nucleotides) under uncultured bacterium. RNAcentral's name for it is "partial 16S ribosomal RNA". It matches the Rfam family "Bacterial small subunit ribosomal RNA", at positions 28 to 506 of the family's 1533-position model. The record is from RNAcentral.